GGUGAGCGGCAGCCAUUUUGACAAUUCCAAAGUCAAAGAGAGCAUCUACAGAUGUCUAGUAACAUUUUUGCAAAGUUUCAUUAAGUUUGAACAUUUUGAAUUUUUUUGAUAUUUUUGCUGUUUCCAUGGUUAGGGCGGCCAUUUUGAAAAUUCCAACUUCAAAAUCCAACUCUGCCUAUGCCAGUUACCAUUCCUGUAAAG
RNAcentral lists this long non-coding RNA (201 nucleotides) under Mytilus galloprovincialis (Mediterranean mussel). Lineage: Eukaryota; Metazoa; Mollusca; Bivalvia; Mytilida; Mytilidae. The record is from RNAcentral.